UCCAUGGAGGAUUAAGAAAAUACAAACAAAAUGGGAAAUAAAGGAGGCUUUCUAUGUUAUACCUCCAGCAACACAUACGUCAUUUCACUUCCUACGAAGGGGUAUUGACCAAUAAAAAUAGUGUAUCGCUUUUUCCCCGCUUGCAAGAAAACUUGACAUAAAUUUAGUAUUAUGAAAGACAUUCAGUCUUUGGUUGUCAAAUACAAUGCGGGGGAUUCUAUUCUCUUUGUUUUGCUUUAUUUAUCUCUAGAAGAUGCUACUUGUCCUUCAUUAAGAGUUAUUCACUUGUGCUAACAACCUUUAGCUCUCGAUCAGCAAUAUCUAGCAAGACCUGACAAUAUAAAAACAAAAUAGUCUUAAUACCUUUUGUCAAGUUACUGGACAAUGGAUCAACAGGUGCAAUGACCGAAAAUAAUAAUAACAUAAGCCACAACUGAAGUAUGGGAAGGAUAGUGCGUACGCAAAUUUAGUCCUAUCUUAUGAAAGUAAAGAGGUCAUUUUCAAUAGGACCCUCCACUCGAGUAAGCAUAUCAAAAAUAAAAUAUAUGAUCUAUAAGUAUUUAAUUUUUACUUAAAUUUAUUAUAUUGUAUGGUCAAAAGAGUCAAAAAAAAAAAAAAAAAAAAAAAAGUGUCAAGAUAGAAUAACAUGUAGAAACAAGUAACAUUGCCAUGCAACUUCAUAAAAAAAUUAGAGAAAUUAAUAUAUACCUGUGUUUCAAUUGUUUAGUAGACUCACUUUAUGUUUUUAUCUCUAAAACCUGCGAAGAAGAAGCUAGUCCGUAAACUAUUUGCAGCCUACAACAGUACUUUCAAUAGAAUAGUACUCCUGAACCUAAGUGAAUUCUAAAUAGAAGAUGUUUAAGCAGAAUUAUGGUAAAGUAGAAGAUGUUUCCAUCAUCGUUUAUAAGAAUAAUCACGAUUAUGGUAAAGAAGAAGACGUUUCUUUCAUUAAAGAGUAUAUUUUUAUAUUUCAACACAUUGACAAAAUUAGAAUAACUGCUAUAAAUUAACAAACCUGUAAUUAAUAAAUAAUAAGAUACAAAACAAAUGAAACAACAUAUCGCAAUACAAUUCAAAGAAUAAGAAAUAGUGAUCCAAAUAUAAAAAGAACUACCUGGUAAUAAAGUUUUUCCAAGAAACGCCUUUGCACACUGAACUUCUGCUUGGUAAUUGGUGAGUGCUAAAUUUAGCCUGCAAAUUUAUUUCUAUAAGACAAUCUGAAUAACGAUUCAAGAAUAUAUAGGAAGCUGGCAUAUACAUGUUAGAGACAUACUACUAACCCAGAAUUUUAGGCAGUAUUAUGAGAUUACAUGCACGAUAGUAGUUUCUUCCAGCACUGUAUUGAAAUUUUUGAAACUCUUUGGAAGAAGUUAAAGAAUCGAACAACAACAAUGCAUAAUCAUCAUAUACUUUUUGGCUGCUUCAUGAAACUUCAGUGUAUGAAAAUAAGUAAACCCU
Molecule: long non-coding RNA, 1458 nt
Filed under: Capsicum annuum
Lineage: Eukaryota; Viridiplantae; Streptophyta; Magnoliopsida; Solanales; Solanaceae
Description: long non-coding RNA (CANN_LNC001476)
Source: RNAcentral